UAAAAGCCCUCUCUGGCAACACAACCACCUCUCUCUCUCUUGGAACUAUAGAUAAAAGCCCUCUCCGGCAACACAACCACCUCUCUCUCUUUUGGAACCUCUGGCCUAAUUUACGCCUUUUGUUUUCCAAUCCUAAAUCCAGGCUCAGAGAACUGACCUUGACCUGGCCUGUACAGUACGUCACUAAGUACAUUAGCUCGCGUGGGUCUCUUUGCAGUCAAUGCAAUCUGGGACUAGAGCACUCCUGCAGCCAUGGCAACCUCAUGCUGCGUGGUACCCAGCACAAGGGCUGCAGUGGGAUGACAUGUAAUACAUCUAAAAUAACAGCUUCUCAGUGGGAGAGAAGAUUGAUGAGCGAGAUCAAUUGAUGGUUGUUUUUGAAGAUUGGAGAUUACUGUUGGAAAUUAAUACAGCCUGCCAAAUUAGGAAGCGGUGAAAAAAAACAUUGAUACUGCAUCGGUGGUGGCUCUGAUCGCCCUGUACGCCAUCAUCAGGCACCUCAUCAAAGAGCUGAUUCAUGACCUAGCAGACUACCUGUUUGGGGUACAGCCUGACGAGGAGGUGGUUAACCCCUGGGAGUGUAAGGACAAGUUCCAGGUGGACUGGUGUCCAGAGACCAAUGCUGAGCUGGAGGCUAUGGUCAAGGCAGAGGAGAUCCACUGCCUGAUGGAGGGCAACAAGAACAUGCCUGCCAUCUGGGUCAUCUCAGAUGGACGUGAGCCACGGCCCCCACGCACGGGCCCCAGGGUCGCCUUCGGCAGGAUGAGCUAGCUACAAAGGGGCAGGCACACAGACUCUGACUGCUAGAGACAAGGCUGGGUACAGCAAUGUGGCAGAUGCACUGACGUUACCAGUCCAGAAGGAGUAUCGUGACAGUGAACAGGUUCUACACAACCCCAACCUCAGAGGCCUCCUGGGAUCAACAAGGAUUCAUAAUGUCUCUCCACAAAACUUUCCUGGUCUGUUUAUCACUGGCGGUUUGUGUUAACCAGGCCCAGAGUGGUAAGCCAAACGGAGGCGUACGGCUCACUACAUCCAAGGGUGGGACACUGCAGCCUUGGCUUGUUGGUCUGGCUGCUGUAGUGGGAUUCCUCUUCAUCGUCUUCGUCAUCCUUAUUGUACAAAGGCUUUUCUUCAAGAAGGAAAAGUACUCGUUACAUUUUGAAUGCUUAGCAGGACAGGAAAAUGGUCAAAUUCAACGCACUUAUCAAGAGAACAUCCCUGGUCAUCCCUACUGCCUCAGGCCCACUAAAUAUAAAUGCUAUGUUUGUAAAUAUGUCUGAGUGUUGGAGCAUGCCCCUGGUUCUCUGUAAAUUAAAUAAAAAACAAGUCAUAUGGUGCUGUUUGGUUUGCUUUAAUAUAAGCAAUUUGAAAUUAUUUAUACUUUUUAUACUUAUGUAAAUUUGAGCAAUUACAUUUACUUUUGAUACUUAUGUAUAUUUAAAACCAAAUACUUCUAGACUUUUACUCAAGUAGGAUUUUACUGGGUGACUUUCACGUGAGGCAUUUUUUUAAAUAAAAUAUGACAUAUGGGUACUUUUCCACUACUGCCUGACAUAAUCUUUUCAUACUUUAAAAUUGUGACCUCCUGUUGUCCUUAACUAACUUACCAGGAUCUCACAAGCAAGUGUAUUUUCUUAUGAAAUGUUCAACUGCUGCAGUCCGAGACAGAAGGCUAUCAAACUACACACGCUCAUUGUAAAGCCCGUGUUUUUGUCUUGCAGAGAGGAAGAUGGUGGUUUGUAUGAGAACACAGCUGUAGAAAUGGAAGCUGGCAAGGCCAGUGAGGUUAAACAAACCAGCCUAUAGAGAGACCACCAAACCAUCCAGGGAGGGGACAGGCUCAGACACCAGUUUCCACGCUCGCAUUGGGUUUCUUACUUCUCCUGCACAUGCAUUUCUUUCAACUCUAUGAUUGUCAUAUCCUAUGUUUGUGCAAUUAAACAAAUGAAGAAAAUAUAGAUAUUGUCCUCAACUUUGCCUGUCAACUGUGCAAACAAGAUAAUUCUGAACAGGAUCUGUUUUAUUGUUGGCUAAAUUGUUUAUACUGUAAUGACUGAUGUUGAUGGUAACAAUAGUGAUUUUGUCUCAUUGAGUAACCAAUGCUUUUACAGUGUCACUGUAACAGAAACUAGUGAUUUUACUUAUACUACCACUAGAUGGAACUGGAUUCUCUUUUUCCAUUUAGAACUCACUAGACCUACAGUACUACACAAAUUGUUAAGGGGAGAGUGGAGUAAGUUGAGCCAUAGGGGUAAGUUGACCAAACAUUUAGGAAGAGGUCAUCAUAUCACGGAGUCUGAAGGAUGAAACCACAUGGAAAAAGUGGUAAGCAAGUCAGCUCCAACAAAACAGAUUUUUACCAAGUCAAAUGAAUUGAUUGUGUUAAAGGUUUCAUGAUGUAUCUAAACCAGAUUGUUCUAUAUCAGUCGGGGUCUCUAUAAGCUUAACUGUGAGAUCCUAAACCUAGCAUGACAGUGCAUCCUUGGAGCUGUGUGGGCUAAUAUAGUCAAAAUGUUUGCCAUGGGGUAAGUUGAGCCAAUGGCAAGUUGAGUAAAUUCCCAGACCUAAUGCAAGGCAUUAUCACUGAGGUAACAACAGGCCUAUGUUAAAAGUGUUUUGUUAGGUGUUAAACCUGUGUUGAAGAUGCUUCGAAGACAAAGAAGCGAUUGUGUUGAAUUGCGUUUGGGAAAUAAAGAUAGAGAUGGGUUUUAAAAAGGUCGUGGAAAUAUUUCAUUUGGUACAUUCAUUUGUAGGCGGCUUAAUUUGCCUGGGGUAAGUUGUACCAAGAGACUUUUUUUGGACAAGCUAUGUUUUCAAAAUUGUAAUGUUUACAUUAAUUCUGAUUAUUUUCAGGGAUACACGACAUCCUGAAAUAUAUGUAGAUAUCUUUGUUAGAAAUAAUACUAUAUUUCCUUUGACAGUCAUGCUGAAUGUAAAAAAUGGCUCACUCUCCCCUAGUCAAUUUUAAAUUGAGAAUAAAAAAAGUGUAAAUUGUGAAGCUAUAGCUGA
Molecule: long non-coding RNA, 3012 nt
Organism: Oncorhynchus tshawytscha (Chinook salmon)
Lineage: Eukaryota; Metazoa; Chordata; Actinopteri; Salmoniformes; Salmonidae
Source: Ensembl